UCAUACGUGGUUCUUUUUUUGAAC
This 24-nucleotide non-coding RNA is filed under the name Arabidopsis thaliana (thale cress). Lineage: Eukaryota; Viridiplantae; Streptophyta; Magnoliopsida; Brassicales; Brassicaceae. The record is from RNAcentral.